Molecule: transfer RNA, 49 nt
Filed under: Polypedates leucomystax (Java whipping frog)
Lineage: Eukaryota; Metazoa; Chordata; Amphibia; Anura; Rhacophoridae
Description: partial tRNA-Gln
Source: RNAcentral
UNAAAGAGAUAGGAGUUGAACCUACGUCUAAGGGAUCAAAACCCUUCCC